AAUAAAGUGGCAUUAUCCGCGGAAACAAACCUGGGCGAGGAGCGAUAAAGCCGCCAGUCAUGGCGGCCGCAAGAUAAGCAGACGACCAGGAUGCGCGCGCACCUUGCAGGCUGCGGUACACCAGUGGCCAUGGUUAUUUGAUAUUCAGCGGUGAUGAAACCAAAAGCUGAAUAACACGAGCUGUUGCCAGGAACAGACAUGACAGUCUAGUGACAACUGAUUCGUGAUGUCCAAGUAGUGGUUGGGAUGCUGUGGGAUCAACAAACACGAGGAAGUGUCCGUGAGGUCAGGACACUGAUUUGUUUAUAGCUUGUGAAACAAGAUGCUUUUUGCAUGAGUUCCCCAUGUUCUCAGGGCGGUGCCCAUCUCUUCCCCCUCAUGGGCACAAUAACAACUGACAAAAAAAAAAAAAAAAAACCCAACUCACGGAUAAAAUUCAGUUGUGCUAACAAUGU
Pomacea canaliculata is the source of this 455-nucleotide long non-coding RNA. RefSeq lists it as uncharacterized. The record is from RefSeq and is a predicted model, not a curated record. Lineage: Eukaryota; Metazoa; Mollusca; Gastropoda; Architaenioglossa; Ampullariidae. The transcript has 3 exons.